GAACACCUUAGCUCAGUGGUCAGAGCUUCCAUCUUGAAUGUUGAGCUUGCAGGUUUAAUUCCUGCAGUGAACA
This 73-nucleotide transfer RNA is filed under the name Phakopsora pachyrhizi. RNAcentral describes it as "tRNA-Ser". The stretch from base 7 to 67 matches the Rfam family "tRNA", at positions 6 to 65 of the family's 71-position model. From Rfam's summary of the family: Transfer RNA (tRNA) molecules are approximately 80 nucleotides in length. Their secondary structure includes four short double-helical elements and three loops (D, anti-codon, and T loops). Further hydrogen bonds mediate the characteristic L-shaped molecular structure. tRNAs have two regions of fundamental functional importance: the anti-codon, which is responsible for specific mRNA codon recognition, and the 3' end, to which the tRNAs corresponding amino acid is attached (by aminoacyl-tRNA synthetases). tRNAs cope with the degeneracy of the genetic code in two manners: having more than one tRNA (with a specific anti-codon) for a particular amino acid; and 'wobble' base-pairing, i.e. permitting non-standard base-pairing at the 3rd anti-codon position. The record is from RNAcentral. Lineage: Eukaryota; Fungi; Basidiomycota; Pucciniomycetes; Pucciniales; Phakopsoraceae.